Molecule: long non-coding RNA, 1564 nt
Organism: Helianthus annuus (common sunflower)
Lineage: Eukaryota; Viridiplantae; Streptophyta; Magnoliopsida; Asterales; Asteraceae
Exons: 3
Source: RefSeq, a predicted model, not a curated record
UUGAGUAUGUUGGCAGACGUAUUGUAUUAUUAGAUUACAAAACUAUCAUUCACUCAUUUUCAAAUAAACAUUCACUCUUCCUCCCCUCUGUUGAGCUCGCGACCAAACCCCAAACCCCUUUUGGUCAUUUACUAAAAUACAUAAAAGGCAAGUUUUAUACUCCCCUUCUCAAUCAAACCCUCAUUUUGCUUCAACAUUCAGCCGACACCCCCUUAAUUCUCUCUCUCUUACUUGGGUCCGGCCACCGGAGCUCUGGCCGGAGCGCGGCGGAGGACGGUGGUGGUUCACGGCGGCGCCACCGCUAUGGCGGCGAUGAGGUGGUUUUCGGCGGUGGUUCACUGGUGUACCCCCACUAAAUCAUACCCUCUAAACUCGUUUCUGGGCACUAUUUUACCAUACGAGCAACAGAGAUGGCAGUUACGAACACCGACAGCCGCGAUUUUUAAUGUUCUUCUCCGGUAAGUCUCUCUAACUCUCAUCCAUCUUCCUUCUUCUCCUAGAUCUGGAAAGAUCAGUGAUUUUCCGGCCGAUUGAGGGUUGUUUCAGGUGAAGACAGAUGAUAAUGAAGAUCAUUAAUGAUGAUGGUGAGGUCGAAGGUCGCCGACGGCGGCGCUCGGUUGCCGGAAUUAAUGGCAACAGCAACCGCCAGAGCCGUGACAGCUCCGUUUCAAAUCGGUUCAAGCUUCAUUUCGAGUAUUAGAUUCACAGUGGUUCGAGUUUCGGGUCUCGGUUUUAAGCGGGUCAGUUUGGUUCAACGUUUUGGGUCUUGUUCGGUUCUAUGUCGGAUCAGAUUGGGUUUCGGUUCAAGAUGUGAACUUGGUUCAGUUAUGGCAUGGUUCAACAGGUUCGAGUCUUUGUUCAGUCUCGGGUCACAUUUCAGUUUUGGUUCGGGGCUCGUUUCGGGACACGGUCAACUGGUCAACGGUUCGGUCAAAGAUGGUCAGAACCAGUCAACGCGAGUCAAAGACUCGGUCAAACCCGAGUCAACUCGGGUCAGCAGCAGUCAACACAGCAAAAACUGGUCAACCCGGUUCACAUUUUCGAUUCGGUGUUCGGAUCCAUUGCGGUAAACAAAAGUCAACGGUCAAACUUGGUCAACGACAGUCAAAACAGUCAACUCAAAGGCCCGGAAUGCUCUAGUUGCACGCUAGCGAGUUCACAUUCUUGGAAUGACACUACGGAAUCACGCUAGGCUAGCUUUGCACAGGAAUGUCAAGAUGAAGAUGAUGAAGACGGAUGAAGAUGAUGAAGAUGGAUGAAGAUGAUGAUGGUCGGUGUAAAACAGAAAAAGUAAGGUUCACAAGAUUUGAAGAUGGAUGAAGAAGAUGAAGAUGAAGAUGGAUGAAGAUGAUGCGGUGUUGAGAGUUGAGAGAGAGAUUUGGAGAUUUUUUGAGAAGUGUGAUGAUGAUGAUGAUCGAUAGAUGGAUUUGAGGUAUUUAAUCAGGAUUUUAAUUAAAGAGUUAUUUAACUAAUCAAUAUUUUAAUAUUUGAUUUAUAAUCACUCUUUUUUUUGGAAAUAAAUUUUUUGUUAUUUAUUAAGAAAUUUUAUAAAUGGAUCUCUUUU